RNAcentral lists this ribosomal RNA (116 nucleotides) under uncultured bacterium. RNAcentral's name for it is "partial 16S ribosomal RNA". It matches the Rfam family "Bacterial small subunit ribosomal RNA", at positions 355 to 466 of the family's 1533-position model. The record is from RNAcentral.
UAGGGAAUUUUCGUCAAUGGGGGCAACCCCUGAACGAGCAAUGCCGCGUGAGCGAAGAAGGUCUUCGGAUUGUAAAGCUCUGUUGGACCGGGGAAAAAGGAAGGAAAGAGGAAAUG